This 232-nucleotide long non-coding RNA is filed under the name Lathyrus oleraceus (garden pea). RNAcentral's name for it is "Pisum sativum (pea) long non-coding RNA (PSAT_LNC008779)". The record is from RNAcentral. Lineage: Eukaryota; Viridiplantae; Streptophyta; Magnoliopsida; Fabales; Fabaceae.
AUGAAAAGAGUUUGAGAAGGAUCUCCUUGAAGAUGGUCAUGAUAUCUGCUGCCAGCCUAAUAAUUCCAGUCUGAGGAUUUGAAUAAGGUCGAUUAUGCCCGUAGUCAUUAGUUUGGUUAAAACAUGUUCAUGUGUGAUUUUUCUUGAUUGUCAUUUGUAACAUUCAUUUGUAAUAAACUUGUUUAUUUUUGAAUAAUAAUUACAUUGAAAUGAAUAUGCAUGUUUUGAAUAA